CCACUCCUGCACCCCAUCCCCCCUCUGUAUCUCUGGGUAUCCACAGAGUUCUGCCUUCAGCAAGACAACCAAGACUUUAGCCCAGCAGAAGCGCUGGGAGAAUAUCCGGUGCCGGGUCUACCUGGGGCUAGCCGUGGCUGGCGGCCUUCUCCUCAUCCUGGUUGUGCUUCUGGUCAUCUUUCUUCCGAGUGGAGAGGACAGUAGUAAACCAUAGGCCUAGGAUGCAGGCACGGCCUUAGGGACUGGGGCCUGACCCAGCCUGGCCUGAAGGAAAGGCUGAAUGGCUGCACUGGCCUGUUCUGGUCUCCAGAGAAUCCUGGUGUUUGCUUCCAUCUAGGACACCCCACUGACUGCUGAAGGGCAUGCUGGAUAUGUGCACCUCUGCGUCUCCCAUCAUGCCAUGGACUGGCCCUAUUGGGCCACACCACUGGAGCUCAGUAAAAGCUGCUGUUUGGUU
RNAcentral lists this long non-coding RNA (457 nucleotides) under Rattus norvegicus (Norway rat). RNAcentral's name for it is "long non-coding RNA NONRATT021496". The record is from RNAcentral. Lineage: Eukaryota; Metazoa; Chordata; Mammalia; Rodentia; Muridae.